UACCAUUCGAUACUUGUAUCAUAUCCAAUCCGGAAAGAAUAAAAACCAUUAAUUUGAAACUGGACAAAAUAUUACAUGUAUAACGUAAAACUUUCAUUAUAAAGUGGAUCCAAAUAUAAACUGUUAUAAAAACUUCUUUAUAUCGGAGUGUUCGUGUCAAUUAUAUCAGAUUAUAUGCCGGAAUUCCAGAAGGCAGGAUUAAUUGCAGGAAGCCACUUCACC
Non-coding RNA from Paramuricea clavata, 222 nucleotides. The record is from the annotation of a GenBank genome assembly. Lineage: Eukaryota; Metazoa; Cnidaria; Anthozoa; Malacalcyonacea; Plexauridae.